GGACACGAAGGCCUCAAGAGACGCUUCCUUAAAACUAAUUCAAAAUGAGCAGUGGGUACAAGUUUGAUUUUAGCGACGAAAGUCCUAAGGCAAAUAAGAAAGGAAAGAAAAUUGUGUACGCCGUUGCAGCUUUGGGAGCUGUCUUUUUUAUCAUUGGUGUUGUUUUGAUAAUAGUUAGUGUUGUGCGUAAAGGUGAGUCUUGUGAGGAAAGCAAAACGGUAAAACCAACACCUGGAGGUACAUCAGCCUACUCGGCAGAAGCACAAAGGGUUGGCUUGGGACCAUUUCUAGAGAAUGUAAAAUCGACGUAUUACAAAAUGAACCCAAAUCUCAUCGUCAGGAAUCCCGAUGCAACUCCAAGCACAAUAAGACAAGAAUUYAGYCCAUACAACUGUCAUCCAAGCGCUCUCAAGAAACGUACGGACGCUGCCAAGUCGCUUUAUAACAAAGGGGCAAAAAUGUUAAAGGACGUUAACCGCGCCAAGCUUGCACCACGUGAACUGAAAGCCCUUAUGCAAGUUCAACACUUUCUACAAAGCAAUUUUGGAGCUCCGUACGACGAGAACUACUACGCUGGUGAUUGGUUACUUGGACCUAAUUUGUUCUGCUGGCAGCCUAUAUGUGGAAGUUGGUAGUGAUCUUUCAUCACAUUUCAACCUUAAAAAGACGGGAUUUCAACCUGCAAAUGAAGGAGACUUGGAGUUUGUGAUCGCUCAUUUAAAGAACCUUAGUGACUCUCUAACGCAAUACGUCGAUAACUUGAAGUACGGGAUAAAAGCUGGAUAUGUGCGAUCUGUCGAGGAAUGUGAGGUGGGAUUGUUCUCACUGAAGAGGAAGUUUAACAGCAUCUCGAAGGAAGGAGGAAAAGGAAUUCUGAGCUCAAGCUAUGUAAAAGAAAUGAGAGAUCCAAAAUGGUACGAGAAAAUCAACUCUGAUACCAAAACAUCCUGGAAAAGCAAGCAUGGUAAAGACGUCCAACAAUCCAUCGACGAUUCUUUGGUUGAAUACGUUGGGCAACCUGUCCAUAACCUCCUACAAUACCUGGAAUUCAACCAUUCCCAGUACUGUGUCCCGUCUAAUGUUUCCAGUGGACUUGCAAAUCUUCCUUUGGAUUAUGUUUACUUAAGAGGAAACAAAACAUCUGAAAAGACGACAAAGGUCCUUCCAUUUGGAGAGAAAUUGAGUGGCAAAGAGGCGUACAAAAGUAUCUUGCCCUAUUUCACUUCCACAAAUAUGACCCCUGAAGAGGUCAAUGACCUUGGCUGGAAGGUGCUAAAUGAGUUAUAUCCACAAGCUGUAGAAAUUGCCAAAACCAUUACGGGAUUAAAUGACAGCGAUCAAGCAGUUACGGAGUUUAAGAAGAAACUCGAAGAUCAAUCGAUGUUUUUCAAUGACAAGCCAAUUCCUUUGAACGAGUCCAACAAAGAAGCGUGGGAAAAAUGUAUUGAUAUGGCGAGUGCCAAGAAAUACUGUCCAACAAGACAUGCGUCAAUGCUGAAAUGGUUUGAAUAUGUAAAUGGCCUCCUUUCUCUUUUCGCCCCGUUGCAAGUUGGAAUGUUCUAUUAUACCGGCCAAAAACAAAGUCAACCCAACUGUCCAGUCCAACUGAUUGCAAAUUUUAAUCCUGGAACUGGUUCACAGAGUUAUCGAAGUAGUGACAAGGCCUGCACGCGUCCGUGCAGAUAUCGUCUACCGUUUUAUCUCAAGGAUCAUGGUCCCAAAUAUAAUGCGUAUUCUGUGGCCGCUCACGAGGCUAGACCUGGACACCACACUCAGCUUCACUCGUUUACCGAGUUGUUCAGCAAUGAUCGUUGUGAUGUUAUUAGCUGGUUGAAUGGUGUUAGCUAUUAUACUGCAUUCACAGAGGGCUGGGCCUUGUACGCAGAGAGAGUACUUAUCAGCCAGGAGACAAACAUCUACGACAAUCUACCUUUGCAAAAAUAUGGCAUGCUGAAGUGGCAAAUAUGGCGGGCUCUUCGUCUUAUUAUGGACACGGGGCUGCAUUAUAGAGGAAUGACCAGAGAUGAAGCCCUGGAACUGUUCGCAAAGUAUGCCUGGGAUCGAACAGACAAAGCUGUCAAAGACGUCGUACGUUACCAAAGCAACGAAGGCCAGGCUACGGCGUAUAUGAUUGGUCAAUUAGCAAUAUGGAAAUAUCGUAACGAUACCACUAAGCGGCUCCAGGAUAAUGAAAAGGAAUUUAAUGAAAAAGAUUUUCAUUUUCAGGUUCUUUCUCAGGGAUCAUCACCACUAAGUUAUCUUGAAGCUCACCUUCAGAGGUUCACUGACUGUACUAUUGAUCCGGAAGGCUCAGGCUGUGAUUCCCUCUUAAAUCCCGACUUCAAGUCUAUACGAAAGGCUAAAACAUCUCAAGCUAAGAAUAACUUCAGGUUGUUCACUGAUGAAGAGGACCAAGACAACGUGUACUUUGAUGGGAUGUAUGAAUCAAGGCCGAGGGACGUGAGAUUUGACUUGGAAUAUCACCGUCUGCACAUAGAGUUGGUUGCAAUCAUGAAGAAGGAAAAGCGAAUGUCCUAUAUAGCGGCCGGUGUCUGCUUAAUAGGCAUCAUUCUCCUCAUAGUAGGAAUUGUUUUACUAGUGAAAGCAAACAGUGCAACGAAAGAUUGCAAUUCCACCGUCAAGGGUAAGGAUACCAGCUCAGGAACCAAAGAGGCUGGCGAUCGAUGCAAAUUCUCCGACGAGGCACUCAGUUCUGGUUUCGCUAAAUUCCUUCAGAAAGUCCAGGACUCAGACUUUGAGGUCUUCCCUGAAGCCAUAGUGUACAAGCCUAACGUUACAGUAGAUGAGAUUAAGCGAGUCUUCAAGCCAUUUGAUUCUUCAUGGAAAAAUCUCAAGAAACGCACAGAUACUGCCAAGGAAUUGUUGGAUGAAGUCAAAGGUAUGAAAAUUAACACCAACAAGCUGAAACCCAGAGAAAAGAAAGCUUUGUUCCGUGUGAAGCACUUCCUGCAGUUCAACUUUGCUGUACCUUACGAUGGCAACUACUACGCCGGUGACUAUAUGAUGGGUCCGAAUCUCUUUUGCUGGCAACCGAUUUGUGGAGUUCCUAGCCAGGUCGCUUCACUGCGCUAUUUUAAACCAAAGGAGGUGAAAGACCUUGAAGUUCUACAGGAUAAGCUGGCUCUCUUCAACCAAACAUAUCAUUCUUAUAUCCAAAACCUGAAAGACGGCAUUAACGCAGGCAUGGUACGCAGUGUUGAGGAGUGUAAGGCUGGAUUGGACGCGAUCAAGAGGACAGCCUUUAAAGUUGCUCUCAACGGCCCUGAAGGAAUUUUGCAGGAGGGCUCAGUUGAAGAUCUUCUCUCACCCAAUUUCUUGAAGGAUAUAAUGAGCAAAUCGGAAGAUUUAGAUGAAUGGGAGAAAAAACAUGGAAAAACUGUCAAUGAAUCCGUCUGGGGAUUUCUUGUGGAUUACGUUGGAAAGCCUCUUGAUACUCUUUUCAAGUAUCUAGAGAACGACUUUUCCCAAUACUGCGUCCCUAGUAACAUAUCCAGCGGUCUUGCAAGUCUUCCUUUGUCGUACAUCUACAAAAAUGGCAACAAUACAGGCACUAAGACGACUAAAAAACUACCCUCAGGGGAGGACUUGGAUGGGAAAAAGUCUUACGACAUGAUUAUGCCAUAUUUUACGACCAAUAAUAUGACCGCUGAUGAAGUCCAUMAGUUAGGGUUUGAAAUGSUUWACAAGCUAUACCCCGAGGUUCUUGAAAUAGCACGUAAUGUCAACAACGUAACUAACAACGACACGGCUAAAGAGCUGUUUAUCAAAAGGCUCAACGAUUCAGAUAUGCACUAUGCUGAUUACAUACCCGCAAACGAGAGCAAUAAAGAGGCACAUAACAACUGCAGCAGCAUCGAAGGUGCCAAGAAAUAUUGUCCUAAGCGUUGGGCCGCGAUGCAACGAUGGUUUACAGAUGCUAACGAGAUUAUGAGCAUGUUGGAUCCAAAAACUGUAAAUAUGUUCUAUUUCAAUGGCUACAAGCACACGACACCCAACUGUCCAGUUCAAAUGCGUCCAAACUUUAACCCGUCCAGUGGAGCCCAGAGUUUCUCUCUAAGCGACAAAAAGUGUUCACGGCCUGCCUACUACAACAUACCAUUCUUCAAUGCUCGGCCUGGGCCUAAAUACGAAGAGAUGAGUGUAAAUGCGCACGAGGCAAGACCUGGUCACCAUACUCAGGUGCAAGGGAUGGUAGAGCAUUUCAUGGACACAUGCAGUGACGUCAUUAAAUGGUUGGAUUCGCAAACUCGUUACACCGCUUUCACUGAAGGAUGGGCUUUGUAUGCAGAAAAUCCACUGAUUGCUAAAGAAACUGAUGCAUACGAUGGUCGACCCUUUUCAAAAUAUGGCAUGUUAAAAUGGCAGUUGUGGAGAGCUCUCCGUCUUAUCGUAGACACAGGUCUUCACAACAAAGGCUUCUCUAGAGAAAAAGCUUUAAAAUUCUUCGCAGACUACGCCUGGGAUACAUCAGAUGGCGCAUCGAAAGAAGUAACUCGCUAUCAAAGCGAUCCAGGUCAAGCUACAGCCUACAUGGUCGGCCAACUCCAUAUAAUAAAGUUGAGGGAAUACGCCACGAAGAAACUGGGCAAGAAAUUCAAUCUGAGAGAUUUCCACUUCUACCUGCUCUCACAAGGGUCAGCUCCUCUUAGUUAUUUGGAYGAGAGUAUUUCGAGGUACGUGGAGUGUACGUUGAACAACGGUAARGGAGACGRCUGUCAUGAUGUACUCUAUCCUGUUGGUAACGACGACAAGACUACUGCAUCAGAUGGCAUCUUCGAUGAUACAGAAUGGGGCGGCUACCCACCCGAGCGCUACGUACCAUACCAUUAUAUAUGAAAAGAUAGUCAAUUGUAUAGAGUUGAUGAUAUUGAAAUGUGAAAAAGUGUAGACGAACAUAUUAUAACCCUUGUUGGUCACGAUUUUAAUUUUCCAUCGUGCAAUGUUUUCAUAUAUUAUAGGUUUGAGUGAUUUUAUAGCUAGUUCAAAAAGUUUUGUUUACGAAAACAGCGAACGAAAUUUACUGUGAGUAUCGAUUAUUUAUUCCGGAUCUUUUUUCUCGUGUUCUCCCACCAUUCCGCGCUGGAUAUUUCGACAGUAAACCGCUUCAAUCUAUCGUUUAUUGCUUAAAUACACUAAUUUUUCCCACUCAUCGCUGAUUGUCUUGCUGCGCUCGUGGGUCCACUUGAGUUUUGUCAAGAGGACAUAAAUCACUUGAGUAUUUUUUUUAAUUUUGAUUCAAAGAAGAUAGAAAGGUUUAUUAGUAAUUAGUUUUCAUUAGUUUUUCAAUAGGUGACCAUUCGUCAUUUCCUAAGUAAAAAAAAACAUGCGUAGAACAGUAUUGUAAACUUAAAGACAAAAAACAUUUCGAAAAAUCUUGAACGAUAACUGCUAUCGAAACUGCUACGUUUAUGCUGUAAUACACAAUGUCCUCUUAAUUGAACUGGGUAUGGUAAAUUCCACCUAGUGGUUCGCUCGUUUCCUCUAACAACCUUAAGUAAAUUAAAAAAAACAUGUUUUGACAACAACUGCGAUCACGAAAGUUGACCAAUACUUGGAUUUUGGAAAGAAGUUAUUAGUAGGACAUCAUUUCCUGGAUCGACCCUGGAGUUCAACGAAGCGUCAUUAGGUCGUUUAAUAAAAUUUCCACUUUUCGAAAUUGAACACAUUUUCCGAUUAGAGUUUUAGAGUGGUUUCAAUAAACCCAUGAAAUAAACCCAUAGCAUAGCAUAGCAUAUACUAAAGUAAACAUCAAUCAUAUCGUAUUCUUUUAUGUACAGCAAUAUGCACAAAUUAUGAUCUUUUUUGCUCAUACAGCCUUUUGCAAAAAUUAUGAGAAUUGU
This is an RNA transcript of Exaiptasia diaphana, 5861 nucleotides long. RefSeq lists it as uncharacterized. The record is from RefSeq and is a predicted model, not a curated record. The transcript is spliced from 13 exons. NCBI's taxonomy places the organism in Eukaryota, Metazoa, Cnidaria, Anthozoa, Actiniaria, Aiptasiidae.